This 307-nucleotide long non-coding RNA is filed under the name Nicotiana benthamiana. RNAcentral's name for it is "long non-coding RNA (NBEN_LNC033011)". Lineage: Eukaryota; Viridiplantae; Streptophyta; Magnoliopsida; Solanales; Solanaceae. The record is from RNAcentral.
GGGGUUGCCUUACUAGGGGGUCGCCGGAGUUAGGGUUGGCAGAAGGGUAGGAGGGUGGGGGUAAGGGGUGAGGGCUGGGUAGUGAAGAUAGAAGAGAGAGAGGAGAGAGACAGAAGAGAGAGAGAGGAGAGAGACAGAAGAGAAAGAGAACUUACUUAGGGGGUCACGGAGAAGGGUCACCGGAGGGGGAGGAGGGUCGCCGGAGGAGGCAUGGGGAGAGGGAGAGAAGGGGCUGGGAGCUGGGGAGGGGUUAGUGGAAGUUAAUUGGGAGAGACAGAAAGAGAGAUAACAGAAGAGUCAAAUAAGG